AUUGAACGCUGGCGGCAGGCCUAAUACAUGCAAGUCGAACGAGUGGCGGACGGGUGAGUAAUGUCUGGGAAACUGCCUGAUGGAGGGGGAUAACUACUGGAACCGGUAGCUAAUACCGCAUACCAUCAGAUGUGCCCAGAGGGCAUUAGCUAGUGGGUGGGGUAACGGAUCACCAAGGAGACGAUCCCUAGCUGGUCUGAGAGGAUGACCAGCAACACUGGACCUGAGCCACGGUCCAGACUCCUACGGGAGGAAGCAGUGGGGAAUAUUGCACAAUGGGCGAAAGCCUGAUACAGCCAGGCCGCGUGUAUGAAGAGGGCCUUCGGGUUGUAAAGUACUUUCAGCGUGGAGGCGUUACCCGCAGAGGAAGCACCGGCUAACUCCGUGCCAGCAGCCGCGGUAAUAC
RNAcentral lists this ribosomal RNA (406 nucleotides) under uncultured bacterium. RNAcentral describes it as "partial 16S ribosomal RNA". It matches the Rfam family "Bacterial small subunit ribosomal RNA", at positions 30 to 526 of the family's 1533-position model. The record is from RNAcentral.